GGAGUUAUGGGCAAAGGAAUGGAGGUGAGGUCCACCGCAGAUGUGUCUUUGCUUUUCAGAGCUGCUCAGCUUUAAGUCCUACCUGCAGUUCACCAUCCUGGCUGCCCAUGGGAUUCACCUGGGGCAUUCCAAAUACCGGUUUCUGGACUUCAUUCCCAGAUAGCUUUCUUCCAUUCGUCUGGAGAUGCCUGGGUACGCUGUUGAAAAAAAGAAAUGUCCUAGAUGAUUCUAAUAAGCAUCGGAGAUUGGGAAACACUGUUUUUGCUGGUGAGUCCGUGAGUAACGAGAACCGAGCUUGGGUGGGAGACAGAAGUGUUCAUCGUUUGCACUUGGGAAGCCUGACAAGUAGGUGGAUCCUGGGCCCCCUUCCAGAAAAUUCAAGUGUCCAAAACGCGUGUGAUAACCGUGGUCAGGAAGUCACGUUUGAGAAACACCAGGGCAGCUUUGAGAGUCGUGCGACGGUGUUUGUCCUUUGUCCACGUGGUGCCGCUAAUCAAGGGUUAUUUUGUUUUGCUUUGUUCUGCUUCGCUUAUUUGUUUGUUACUUUGUUGGUUGGUUGCUAGGGACUGAGAUGGGUUUGAAACUGCUUUGGAGAAGAGCCAGCCGAGUGGUCCUGUGGGAAGAAGAGAUCUUUGAGAACAUUCUCAUACAACUCCAGGUUGGCAUUGCUUGGUGUCAUAGAAGUGGGAUCCAGAAAAGACCUCAACAGCUCCAAGGCUGGUGAGCAGACCCUUGUCAAUACCCACUGAGGCCAUUGAGCUCACUCUUUUGUCACUGACCCUGGAGUUUGAGAAGUACCUGAGCUUCAAGGAGAUUCAUGGAGAGGACUUUUGACAAAUAUAGGUUUGUGAUACCUUGAAGAGCAUAAAACCAAACUAGGACACAACCGAAGGCACUGGCUAUAUUACCAAGACUUUGACUGAAAUGGUAUUUCAGAUAAAUCUGAUGGCCAGUCCUUGACUUGGCUUCCUGGCCUCAGAGGCAAUGACAGUUCAAUCUGAGACGCCUUAUGAAAAGUUCCAGCAAAUCAGUCUUAAAAAGAACUUACAAGGUCAAUCAAUAUUUCUGCUACGUGUGUGUGAGUAACCAGGCCAAGUUUAAUGCAAACGAAUUAGUUUUAUCUUUAGUAAAAAAAAAAAUGGGGCUACUUGUAGAGAGAUGGGGCAUGUAGAGAGAAAAAAUAUGUUUGCACCUUUGUCUACGUUAGAUUCUAGCCCUGUUAAUUGUCUUUGAGGUUUGGCUAUAUACCUGUAAACUAGGCUGGAUCCUGAAUUCACCUGGUUUCCUCAAAUAUCUGGCUACAACUCUUCAACCUAUCACUUCCAAUUUUGUCCCGCUCAUCUGAUUUGGAAUCACCAAAGAACGAAGACUGCUCCUAAAUCUCCUUGGAAGGGACUAUAAGAAGUCUUUCCCAUUACUGGGAUGGCAGCCAAACUUCAGGGACUUGAGCCUUGACUGCACAUCGGACAUCUGAAGGAGGUUUUUCCUGACAGCCAGUCCUGUGCAAGUCCUGGAGGCUUCCAAAUCAAAUUGACCAGGAGGACAGUGAUCUGACAUCAAGAGGGGCAAGACCACUAAAUAUGGAAAACCUGACUCCCAAUCGAUGCUUUGAAAGAAAGAUCUUGAUCAAAGGAGGGAAAUGUGAAACUGAAUAGAGGAAACCUCAUUUAAAAGGGAGUCAGGAGACCAGAAGGGGAACUCUCAUGUCGAAGCAUUUGUCCCUCGCAGACCCCAGCAGGAAGAAAUGUACUUUGCAAUACCAGCAGGAAGAAGCCUACUUUACCACCUCAGGAGGAAGGGAGAAUUUCUCCUGACCUAGCAACAAGCUCAGCCAAUAAGAAAAUACCACAGCUCAGCCAAUGAGAAACCAUCACUACCCUGAACUCUCAUUUUCCUCCAAUGGAUUUCAUUCAUGCAGCCCCUCCCAACUUCCUUCUCUUCUCUACAAAGUAACCUUCUUUUCCUUUGAUUUUUCAACUGUGUUAUGGUUUGCCAUAGCUUUUGUGUCCUGAACUGCAAUUUCUCUGCUAUUCCUCAAUACACUUAUUCUGCUGGUAAAAUAACUGGCUGUUUUGCUUUUAAGGUUGACAGGCCUUCGUCCCAUAAGACUUCCCCCACUUUAGAAGGCAAUUUCAAGUCCAGGUUGUUACCUAUACUUCUGAGCCACUGGCUAUAAGUUGGAGGUUCCCGGGAACCUUUCUUCCACUUCAAUUAAUAUGCUAGGAUGCCUCAAAGAACUCAGAAAAACAUGUACUCAUGUUUACCAGUUUAUGACGAAGGAUAUUAUAAAGGAUAUAAAUGAAUAGCCAGAUGAAGAGGUACAUAAAGCCUAGGAGGGUCCCAAGUGCAGAAGCUUCUGUCCCCAUGGGCCUGGAGUGGACUAUCCUCCAGGCAUAUGGAGACA
Molecule: long non-coding RNA, 2404 nt
Organism: Felis catus (domestic cat)
Lineage: Eukaryota; Metazoa; Chordata; Mammalia; Carnivora; Felidae
Exons: 5
Source: RefSeq, a predicted model, not a curated record